This is a small nuclear RNA of Sitodiplosis mosellana (orange wheat blossom midge), 122 nucleotides long. RefSeq annotates it as U4atac minor spliceosomal RNA. NCBI's taxonomy places the organism in Eukaryota, Metazoa, Arthropoda, Insecta, Diptera, Cecidomyiidae. The transcript has a single exon. The record is from RefSeq and is a predicted model, not a curated record.
AUAAUCCUUGUCUUGGGGAGCAUAAUGUCUCGAGGAACGUAUAGUGAGAGCAUUGCUGCUGACACCCAAAUAAUUUAAAAUAACCCCGCUAAAGAGUAUGCUUUGGCGGAAUUUUUGCAAAG